GGAGAUGUGUGAUGUCCAUGACAGGUUCUCUGUGAUGCUGAUACCCAGGAACUUAAAACUGUUCACCUGCUCCACCACAGCUCUACUGAUGUAGACAUGGAGUUCUCUCCAUGUCGGGGGUUGCAGUCAUGGGUGUAACCGUUUCAGUGAACUGUAAACAGGAUGCAAAAAGUGCAAAGAAGUGAAGGGUGCUGAGAUGACUACUAAAUGUAAAAAACUGGUAAAUGAAAAAAAAUGACGUUACUUUAUGGGUACAUUAUAAAUAUUUAACUUAUGAAUACUCUUUUUCUAAUAAGGUCAUGGAAAUACAUUUUAAAAUUCUACAUUAUAUGUAUCCUGUUAAUUCCUUUAUUGCAAAAUAUGUGGACACUGCAUAUCUUUGUACUUUUUUAAUCACCAGAAAGAAUGUAUUCCUCAUCUUUUCUUUCACUGUGAUGUGGUUCAGACCUUUCAGCAAGAACUUGCUACCCAUAUUUUCAGCUUCAUUGAUGGGCCUUAUACUUUUACUUUAUAUGAUAUUAGAUGUAUGAUGUAUUUUUCAGACACAAGAACAGUUCCUCUCAGUACAUUGUCAAUUUUUACAUUUGAUGGCUAACGUUUAUAUCCACAAAUGCAUUUUUUUAUAAAUCCCCACCUAGUUUGCUGCCUUACCUUGCAGAACUUCAAAGUCUCCUGUAUUCUUUAAGCCAUAAGAAGAACCACAAAAGUGCCUUACUACCAUCUCAACACUCAGGACUCACUUAGGUAAACAUGUAAUCUUUAUCUUUACUUUUUAAAAUUUAUUUACUUAUUUAUUGUCUUCGGUUCUCUUAUUUCUUUUGGGAUCUUUUGUUUUGUUUUGUUUAGGUUUUUAUGCUAUUCCUGAGCCUUUUAUGUUGUUCUGUGUUCCUCAUGGCUUUGUUCAACUGUUUAUUUUGUGUGAUGGUUUUCCUGUAUUUGUGUGUGUUAUGUGUUUCAAUAUCUGUCCAAUAAAGUUGGAGUUGUCCUUCAUUAUUA
Molecule: long non-coding RNA, 996 nt
Organism: Thunnus maccoyii (southern bluefin tuna)
Lineage: Eukaryota; Metazoa; Chordata; Actinopteri; Scombriformes; Scombridae
Exons: 2
Source: RefSeq, a predicted model, not a curated record